Molecule: RNA transcript, 2112 nt
Organism: Gadus morhua (Atlantic cod)
Lineage: Eukaryota; Metazoa; Chordata; Actinopteri; Gadiformes; Gadidae
Gene: aspdh
Gene name: aspartate dehydrogenase domain containing
Exons: 8
Source: RefSeq, a predicted model, not a curated record
GUUUACUUAAUGUUUCCUUAGUUGAACUUUGAACGGCGCACACCUCCUUCUUUGAGUGAGGACUGGGGUCAUUAGUUGUUCAGAGGUGGAUAAAGAAGUUGAGAGAGACGACGCUUCGAUCUGCCGAAUCUACCUUGAAGGGCAUGGCUACCCGCUCAUCUACCUUGAGGAUAGGAGUGGUGGGAUAUGGACAUUUAGGGCAGUACCUAGUGGAGAGGAUCAUAAAAGAUGGAGCUGGCCUGGGUCUUACUCUGGCGUUUGCUUGGAAUCGAAACCCUCACAAGCUAAAGGGUUUAGUUCCUGACCACCUAAUACUUGAAGAUCUAUCUGCUUUUAAAACCAGGGUAUGCGAGGUGAUCGUAGAGGUGUGCCAUCCUCAGAUCGUCAAGGACUUUGGUGUUCAGUUUCUCUCUCAUGCACACUUCCUGGUAGGCUCUCCCUCGGCACUCUGUGACCCCGAGCUGAACCAGCAACUUCGGCAAGCGGCCAGUCUUCACGGCAACACGCUCUACAUCCCCAGUGGUGCAUUGUGGGGAGGCCAGGACAUCCAGAGGCUUAACGACAGCGGGGCACUCACAGGUGUGUUCGUAAGGAUGUCCAAACACCCCUCCUGCUUCAGGCUCACAGAGGACACGCUCUCUGAUUGGACUGAGGGCGAGGGGAGGCGGGUCUUAUUCAGGGGCUCUGUGGCUGAGCUGUGCCCAUUGGCCCCCAACAACGUGAACACUAUGGCAGCAGUUGCUGUGGCAGCAGGAACCCUGGGCUUUCCUGGGGUUAUUGGGGAGAUUGUGUCGGAUACAGCGCUGAGGGACUACCACGUGGUGGAGGUGGAGGUGAGUGGAGCCCAUGGCUUCUCGGUCCACACGGUGAGGAGGAACCCUGCCCAGCUGGGAGCCGUGACCGGCAGCGCCACCUACAACUCUUUCUGGCACAGUCUACUGGGUGAGCUGAACGCGCUGGGGACCCCGCUCUUAUCACAGUCUACUGGGUGAGCUGAACGCGCUGGGGACCCCGCUCUUAUCACAGUCUACUGGGUGAGCUGAACGCGCUGGGGACCCCGCUCUUAUCACAGUCUACUGGGUGAGCUGAACGCGCUGGGGACCCCGCUCUUAUCACAGUCUACUGGGUGAGCUGAACGCGCUGGGGACCCCGCUCUUAUCACAGUCUACUGGGUGAGCUGAACGCGCUGGGGACCCCGCUCUUAUCACAGUCUACUGGGUGAGCUGAACGCGCUGGGGACCCCGCUCUUAUCACAGUCUACUGGGUGAGCUGAACGCGCUGGGGACCCCGCUCUUAUCACAGUCUACUGGGUGAGCUGAACGCGCUGGGGACCCCGCUCUUAUCACAGUCUACUGGGUGAGCUGAACGCGCUGGGGACCCCGCUCUUAUCACAGUCUACUGGGUGAGCUGAACGCGCUGGGGACCCCGCUCUUAUCACAGUCUACUGGGUGAGCUGAACGCGCUGGGGACCCCGCUCUUAUCACAGUCUACUGGGUGAGCUGAACGCGCUGGGGACCCCGCUCUUAUCACAGUCUACUGGGUGAGCUGAACGCGCUGGGGACCCCGCUCUUAUCACAGUCUACUGGGUGAGCUGAACGCGCUGGGGACCCCGCUCUUAUCACAGUCUACUGGGUGAGCUGAACGCGCUGGGGACCCCGCUCUUAUCACAGUCUACUGGGUGAGCUGAACGCGCUGGGGACCCCGCUCUUAUCACAGUCUACUGGGUGAGCUGAACGCGCUGGGGACCCCGCUCUUAUCACAGUCUACUGGGUGAGCUGAACGCGCUGGGGACCCCGCUCUUAUCACAGUCUACUGGGUGAGCUGAACGCGAUGGGGACCCCGCUCUUAUCACAGUCUACUGGUUUGUAAAGGGCACGGUGGGAAGGUGCACUUGUGCUGAUGGCUGUCUUCACCCUUAAAUGGCAGGAUCAAAAGUUGUGAGGAAUGUACCCAAGUAUCUGCUACCACAUUAAUUCCACACUUUCCAUGUAAUCAAGCACAUAUAAGUGAAAUCCUAGAUUUUUUAUAAUACGUGUGGAACUCAGAAGUCGGAUAUUGUUACCAACUUGCAAACCUGAAUCUCUUGUCAUUAAAAACCCGUUUCAAAACAAA